CAAGCCCCUCCUCCCUCUUCCCUUCCUCUGUUUCUCCCUCCCUCAAGCCCCUCUUACCUCCCCGAUCUGCUAGCGAUGCAUCCAAAUCGAUGGCCUCUAUGCACGUCCUAAGAGAAAGUGAGGCAGAGGGAGCGACCCAUGGCUGGAUUAUGUUGCUGCGAAGCUCAAUGCCUCUGCUGCGAGCCUGCAGAGAUGAGAGUAUGGACGCCGGCUGACAACGGGAUACUGUGGGCGUCGGCGGCCGGGGCUACAAUGGAGCUCGGCACCACGGCACCCGGAGCUGCAAUGGAGCUCUUCCGGGGCUGCGAUGGAGCCCGGCACCACGGCGUCCGGAGCUGCAAUGGAGCUCCGUGAGGGCUGCAAUGAAGAGCGGGCGCUACUGCCAGCGGCAUGGCAAGUUGAGGUCGGCGACGCUCGCCAUCAGUGCUGCAAUGAAGCGAGCGUUGAUGCCAAUGACACGACAAGUCGAGGACGGCGGCUCUGCAAUGAAGCGUCAAUGGAGCCAUCGACGACGGCGCUGCUGCGUGGUGAGGGAUGCAAUACUAUGGCAGUGCCGCUGCCUCGAUGAUGUUGUGCUUGUUUGGGUCGCAACAUCGCCGCUGCUGUGAUAUCGUCGGCGCUGGUUCCGUUGCCACGUUGAGGACCUGCUGUGGUCACCUUGGUCACGCGGAGUUGUAGUUGCGUUUGCUGCUUUGCGUUGCCUGUGCUGGUAGUGGUGGAUGAUUUCAUAGCAGCCGCCAUUGUAAAUUGGUGCUACCUCAUCAGGCGAGUGGCGGAUCCCUGAUCCUUGCAUGCAGUACCAGUUUAGAUGGGAGUUCUAACGACGCAUUAUACAAGGAGCUAUGACAUGCUUGAGCUAGGCUGUUGAUCACAGUGCCUUGCCAACGUGAAAGGAUUCACUACUUUCCAGAUGGUUAUAUGGAACAGGUAUGUCUCACCGCAUUGAUGUUUGCUCUUCUUGAUGCCCCAUAACUAAUGAAUGAAUUUUUCUACUCAACACAAACAAUAGCAAUUUGUGCUAUGGGGCACUGCUUGAUCUUGUGUUAAAUACUCCCUCUGUCCCACAAUAUAAGAACAUUUUUUAAACUAUGUUAGCUCGAAAAACGUUCUUAUAUUAUGGGACGGAGGGAGUAAUAAUCAUCCAGGUAUUUAAAGAUCGUCCACAUACACAUUUAGAAUAUGUUAGGGUCCUUAUGUGUGCGAGGCGUGUGCUUCUCUAGUAUGGUCAUGUAUUAGUUGACAAAUGAGUAUCCAUGAGAGGGCACCACUUUA
Aegilops tauschii subsp. strangulata is the source of this 1272-nucleotide long non-coding RNA. RefSeq lists it as uncharacterized. The record is from RefSeq and is a predicted model, not a curated record. Lineage: Eukaryota; Viridiplantae; Streptophyta; Magnoliopsida; Poales; Poaceae.